Molecule: long non-coding RNA, 2885 nt
Filed under: Rattus norvegicus (Norway rat)
Lineage: Eukaryota; Metazoa; Chordata; Mammalia; Rodentia; Muridae
Description: long non-coding RNA NONRATT023334
Source: RNAcentral
UCACUCUACAGUACCUGUCUCAACAUUAUUACUCACACGUCUCUUCGUACAACUGACGAGAAAGUGCCCAUUCUCUGCAAGCUUCGGGGGAAUCUUGUUUUGCUUUGUUUUCUUUUUGGAAUCAACAGGGAGGCGCAAAGUAUAAAGUUGCUGCUAACAUAUAUAUAUACAUAGAUAUUUAUAUUUUUAGCGUAUCUAUGUAUAUAUAAACAGUAUGUCCACAUAAACAUUUAACUGCCAUUCGGUUCUUCCAUGGUUUAGGUUUUGGGGGUUUUUUUUGUUUGUUUGCUUGCUUAUUUGUUUUUGUUUUUAAGUCUAGAAAGCGAUUGUAAACAUCUUUUCCAAGUUACUUUUAAUAUUGCAAAACUUUAAUUUGUAAAGGGAAUUGAGGAGUGCACAUCAUUGAUUAUUGAGCCUCGCCCCUAAUGUUCCUACCUUGUAUUCCCCCACCUAUCCAACCAUAUUCACAAAUACUGUUUUGUUAGCCAGGCUUCUGACAAAAUUCAAUAUUUCUAACACUCUAGUGCAAUAACAAUUGUUAAAUAUCUAAAAGGUGUGCAUGUGGGAAAGGUCAGUGCAUAUCCCUUUAGGGGGGAAGAAUGUUGUAAUAUAUCAGCUAUCAAGUUGUUUUUUUAAAAAAAAAGUAUAUUCAAUCAUAUAUUGUCUAUAGUAUGUGCUAUGAAAUUUGCAUUUAUGAUAUGUAACAGGGGCAAAGCCAAACUCAUGUUACUCUUUUCAGUCAGAAACAUGUUGUGGCUGCGGCGUUCCUGGGAGGCGCUGUGCUGUUUCAUUUGGUUUUAGUUCUGCAUUUAGAGUGCCUUAUAAUUGAUGCCUAUUUUAAUAGCAUUUCUUUUUACCUUUUGGUUCUGAUUUCCAUUAGGUGUUCACAUCUGUUUCUCUUUCAAUUAAAACAUUAUCUGUUCACCACAUGUAUAUAAACUCUUUAAAUAAUAUGCAUUCCUAGUUUUCAGCCAAGUGGGGGAUGUUAGUGACUGUACCAGCCCAAAGCACUUGGAUAAUCAGGGCCUCUCCUUUCCUCAUAGUCACAUCAGGAAGAGCAACUUGUUUCACUUCGAAUUCCUUCCAAAUCUGCUCUGGAGCAUGCAGUAACCACCAGUCUUAUUUAUAGAAACAACUUUGGGAUAUAUUUGAUAUUCCAUUAGGAUUUUUCUGAAAGGGGCAAUAAAUUAUAUAUAUAUAUAUAUGUAUGUAUCUCCCCAAACAUUUCCAUAGGAAGCCAUGGACGUUGGCAUGGGUUUGCCACAUGCUAUAUGAUUUUAAAGUACCCUCCACGAAUACUAAGAACUCUGAAAGAGUUUUGAUACAGGUAUAAUAUUUUGGUUUAAUUUUACCUUCAUGAUGUUCUGCAUGGAAGGGUAUUUGUUUUCACAUUUUCCCAUCACUAGCAGAAUAAAGUCCUAGAGACCAAACACUUGCAAGUAUCAUAUUUGAACAUUUUUUAUAAAAAAAAACUAAAAAAAUAAACAAAAACAAAAAAGAGAAAAAACAGAAAUAUAUAUAAUACUAAAAAAAAAGAAACUAGAAGGCUACCUCAGAAUGAGACUCUCUAAUCUACAUCAGAACCAGAUAGAAUGUGCACUGUGUGAGUCUAUUGUUUUCCUUUCACUUGUACCAUUGAAGAUUUAUCCAAGUGCCAGGUUGCUCAGUGCUGUAAUUUUGUUUUAGUGAAACAAGGGAGGUCAGAUAGGUUAUUGGGUCAUCAAGACACGCCAUUUUGGACAUGUGGGAUCUAAUGGAAUAUCACACAUCAAAAUGACUGGCCAGUGAGCAGUUUAUCUCUCUGCAACUGAAGCUGCCUGUGUGACAGGAGACAUGGCAGUAGUCACCAAAAGAAAUGAAUGGAUGUGUGCUAUAGGAGGAUGAGGUGGGCAUUUCUCCAGAAUCAGGAGCUGUUCCUAGAACUAACUCCCCACUGUCACUGAUGUGCAUUCCACUCUGUACUUUGCUCUAUGACCAUUCAAGUUUAAUUUCCCAGGCAAACAUCAGUAUCUACCAUUACCAUAAACAUCCAAGUUUCCAGUUAUUUUCAUCAUCAUAACCAGUACGGUGCUAUUAUUUACCUAUGUAUGUGUAGUUAUGUAUAAUUUUGUAAUUAGUUACAAUGGUAAAAUAUCAAAUAUAUAAAAGUGAUUUGUACAGAACUUUAUUUUAGCUCUUUUUUAAAAAUGGUUUGCAUGGUUAGACAAGGCAAGGACAGCCAGGGGAGGGAAGGGCCUCUAGGGAACUUUGCACUUUCUAUACCUUUGUACUAUGCACUGCCCUAUUGAUUCUACACCCAAUAAUGUUAUUACUUGAACCCAUCUGUAAGGAACUGCUUCAAAAGUUCAUUUUUGUGUCUGUGGAUAACACAUCACAACAGGAAAGGAAAAAAUGCAUAGUAGCACACACAGUUUUUUUCUUUCCUGCUGAGUUUUGGGUUAGCUUUGUUUCAGUCUUUCUUGUCAUUUUAAAAUCCCCUUCCCAUUUUUUUUUCUCUUUUGGUUUUGAUUUCCAUUGGGUAUAUGGGUGCCCUGAUACUCCAGCAGAGGUCAGAAGGCUACAGAUCCAUCCUAUCCAUCUGUUACACGGCUUUGCCAUACAAGCUUGGAGUGUCUUUACAAAGAUAACAGUUGUGUUCUUUGCUCUCGUUUUGGAUGCAUAGACUGAAAAUUCAAAAAAAAAUAACUUGUAAAAUGGCUUGUUAAAAAAUACAAUUACCUCUAAUUAGUAGUACGCGUAAGUGUUUUACAGAAUGAAAGGCGUGCUUUUUAUUUUCUUACUUCGUUACAUUGGUGGCGAAAGAAGUCUGUAUGAAAAUCAGUUCUUUGCUGACACAGGUUCCAUUUGUUACAAAUGAAUUCUAAUAAAAAUGUCAGUGUUAUGCA